RNAcentral lists this ribosomal RNA (482 nucleotides) under uncultured bacterium. RNAcentral describes it as "partial 16S ribosomal RNA". It matches the Rfam family "Bacterial small subunit ribosomal RNA", at positions 29 to 507 of the family's 1533-position model. The record is from RNAcentral.
AUUGAACGCUGGCGGCAUGCCUUACACAUGCAAGUCGAACGGUAACAGGUCUUCGGAUGCUGACGAGUGGCGAACGGGUGAGUAAUACAUCGGUACGUGCCCGACCGUGGGGGAUAACGAGGCGAAAGCUUUUCUAAUACCGCAUACUAUCUACGGACGACAUCGGGGGAUCUUCGGAGCUCGCGCGGACGGGGCGGCCGUUGCGGGAUUAGGUAGUUGGUGGGAUAAAAGCUUACCAAGCCGACGAUCUGUAGCUGGUCUGAGAGGAGGAUCAGCCACAGUGGGAGUGAGACGCGGCACUGAGUCCGACGGACGGCAGAAGUGGGGAAUGGUGGAAAAAGGGGGAAAGACUGAUCCAGGGACGCCGCGUGGAGGAUGAAGGGCCUCGGGUGGGAAGAUGGCUUUGUAGUGAACGAAAGGCCUCAGCCUAAUAGAGAGGGGUCAUGACGGUACCGUAAGAAGAAGCACCGGCUAACUACGUG